AUUCAUUAAACACUUAUCUUGGUUUAUAGUUGGGUUGGUUCACUUAGAAUAAAUAGAAGACUGGUUUUCUUUAAUAAAAGAUCAGUCUUUUUUUUUUUUUAAAGGCUUUCAAAUUUAAGUAAAAACAGAUACCUUUACAAAGAUAAGACUAAACAAUCUUAUAGUGAGAAAAAGCUUGCAUGAAACACACUUCAUGAUAUAGAAGAGCUUAUACCUAAGGAAACACUUAGGACAUGACCAACAAAGAGAUCAUUUGGUUUAAUAUUCUUAAACCCGGUUGGGCUAUUUUGUGGGUUAAUUAGGUUAAUUCUAAAGAGCGGUAAAUUUAUCAUAGAGUCUUACCGGAUAAUAGUGUAUGCAUGAGCGGGUUUCGUUAUUGUUUACUUGUGAUUCAUUUUCAAAUAAUAAAAAGAACCUAAUUUUCACGUUAACUUAUAUGGUGUUUGGUGUAUGCAUAGGUAAGACAUUGUUAUAUAUUUGACAACAAACCAAGCUGAGUUGUUGUUUGAGUCUCAUUCAUGUUCCAAAUAAUAACCAAACCUCUAAUGAUUUUGUCCGAUUCAGAACAAAGGCUUACUUACCCUCUCAUGCACAUGCCAUUAAAUCUUUUUAUGAUAAAAACAAAACAAAAAUCAAUUCAAUCCAUAUAAAAGCAAAAAAAAAUUAAAAAAAAUCGUUUCUUUCAUAAAGGUUGAAUGUUUAAAGCCAAUUUACGUAGAUUAGGAAUAUACCUAAUUGCGGACUAUACCAUUAAAAUCAGAAGAAACCGAUAAAUAAUAUUAGCUUUCGAGUUUCAAUCAAUACAAAGUGUAGUAUACAAAAUAAUAUAUCAUUUUGGUAAAAAAAAAUUAAAAAUGUUUUAAACCGACCUGGACAUUAAACCGGACUGUUUUUGGUCAUUGAGUUAUUGGAUAGACCGUGGUAUAC
This 927-nucleotide long non-coding RNA is filed under the name Brassica rapa (field mustard). Its description in RNAcentral is "long non-coding RNA (BRAP_LNC006669)". Lineage: Eukaryota; Viridiplantae; Streptophyta; Magnoliopsida; Brassicales; Brassicaceae. The record is from RNAcentral.